GACGAACGCUGGCGGCGUGCUUAACACAUGCAAGUCGAGCGGUAAGGCCCUUUCGGGGGUACGACGAGCGGCGAACGGGUGAGUAACACGUGGGUGACCUGCCCUUAGCUCUGGGAUAAGCCUGGGAAACGUGGGUCUAAUACCGGAUAUGACUCCAUGACGCAUGUUGUGGGGUGGAAAGCCUUGUGCGGCUAGGGAUGGGCCCGCGGCCUAUCAGCUUGUUGGUGGGGUGAUGGCCUACCAAGGCGACGACGGGUAGCCGGCCUGAGAGGGCGACCGGCCACACUGGGACUGAGACACGGCCCAGACUCCUACGGGAGGCAGCAGUGGGGAAUCUUGCGCAAUGGGCGAAAGCCUGACGCAGCGACGCCGCGUGAGGGAUGACGGCCUCGGUUGUAA
RNAcentral lists this ribosomal RNA (399 nucleotides) under uncultured bacterium. RNAcentral describes it as "bacterial SSU rRNA". It matches the Rfam family "Bacterial small subunit ribosomal RNA", at positions 28 to 428 of the family's 1533-position model. The record is from RNAcentral.